This 253-nucleotide ribosomal RNA is filed under the name uncultured bacterium. RNAcentral describes it as "partial 16S ribosomal RNA". It matches the Rfam family "Bacterial small subunit ribosomal RNA", at positions 524 to 776 of the family's 1533-position model. The record is from RNAcentral.
UACGGGGGGGGCAAGCGUUGUUCGGAAUUACUGGGCGUAAAGGGCUUGUAGGUGGCCAACUAAGUCAGACGUGAAAUCCCUCGGCUUAACCGGGGAACUGCGUCUGAUACUGGAUGGCUUGAGUGUGGGAGAGGGAUGCGGAAUUCCAGGUGUAGCGGUGAAAUGCGUAGAUAUCGGAAGGAACGCCGGUGGCGAAAGCGCUCGACUGGACCUCUGCUGACGCUGAGGCGCGAAAGCCAGGGGAGCAAACGGG